This is a non-coding RNA of Sus scrofa (pig), 4828 nucleotides long. Lineage: Eukaryota; Metazoa; Chordata; Mammalia; Artiodactyla; Suidae. The record is from RefSeq and is a predicted model, not a curated record.
UUUUUUUUUUUUUUUUUUUUGUCUUUUUGCCUUUUCUAGGGCCGCUCCCGUGGCAUAUGGAGGUUCCCAGGCUAGGGGUCAAAUUGGAGCUGUGGCCACUGGCCUACACCACAGCCACAGCAACGCAGGAUCCGAGCCACAUCUGUGACCUACACUACAGCUCAUGGCAACGCCGGAUCCUUAACCCACUGAGCAAGGCCUCAUGGUUCCUAGUCAGAUUCCUUAACCACUGCGCCACAACGGGAACUCCUAAGAUUAUUUUUAAACUACAACUAUUUUUUGUUGGCAUAGACAAAGUCCCUUCUCCCUUUCACCACUUGCACUAGCUUUUUAAAAAUGAUUUAUCAUUUACAGAAAGAGAACAUGGAUGUCUGGAUUCAGAAGGCGAUGUAUUAUUUUCUGUUUCUUGUUUUAAACUGGCUGAUAUCAUCUGUUAAUUUUUGAAUACACUUAUUAGAAACAAUGUUUGAAGAAAAAUCUAAAUACUCCUGGGAUUCGUUAGCCUCUUCAGCUCCACAAAGCCCAGAAGACAGUCCAGCCUACUAACCUGUUGUUUACUCCCCGAUAGAACAUCUACCUUGAUAUCUGUCACCUUUUCUCCCUUUCUGCCAAUUUCUGGUGUGCGCGCUAAGUCCUAAACCCCCUGCUUCCUGCUUCCGUUUUACUGCACUCUGUUCUCUAGCCUCAAAAUAGAAGUUAACGCUGAUGCCCAGGAAGGAACCCCAAAGCCUCCUCACUAGCCCAGGUGGGAGUUCCCCAAGCCUGAGACCCUUCCAGCUCCACCCUGGCCUGCGUUCAUAAUCCCUUCCUGUCUCUGACCCCAGCCCUCACCCCCCUGGUUCGUUCUGCCGAGGGGGGCGGGAGGGCGUGGGAGAAGCUGUCUGUGCCUUUCCAGGUGGCUGGCUGGUUUUCCACCCUGUUUUCUUUCCUAUUUGUAGGGGGUUUUAAUAUUUUCUAAGUACUGACAGUUUGUAAUUAAUCUGCAAGGUCUACGUGUCCACUGUUGGGUGAUGGAGGUGGAGAUGAUAACAGCGGCAGCUCGGCUUCAUUGACAGCUCCCACCUCCAAGCACCGUGAUGGGCGCCUGACAUGUUAAUCUGCCGUCACCAGACAGGGGGGAUAUUACCCCCAGUUUAUAGAAAAAGGAACCCAGACCCAAGUUACUGUUCAUGACUUAUAAUUUCAUCAUAUUCAGUCACUUCUUCACUCAUUCUGAGAUGAUUCUGUCUUCACAUGGAAGAGUAGGCAGUUUUUCAAGACGUCAUUUUUAAGAGAUAAAAAUCCGUAUUAUACAUUCAGUCAAAAACUAAAGUAGAAAGUUUCUGUAGUUUUUAAGAAUUGGUAGAGAAUACAGACCGACCAGUAAUUUUCUAUAGUCACAUUCCUGCUUAUUUUUCUAAAGUUUUUACUGCUGAUUGGUUUUCCUUUCCACACCAGUGAUUAUUCAUUGAGCACAUUCUAAGUCUGAGGCAUCAGGUCAACACCAAGAUUUUCUUAGAAGCAUAGGUGUUAAAAAUAACUAGCUGUCUUCCAAUUUUAAAAAGUGUUAACUGAAUUAUUACGGUUUAUACAUUACUCUCAGGACAUGAGAUACAAGUAUCGUAUGGUUUUCACUUUUUUCGAGGACAGCCCUCAGCCAGCCUCUGAAUCCUGGCAUCCCAGUGGUAAAAUAUUUAAUGGAACCAAGCACUGUUUUGAUUUGCUAGAGUAUUUGUCACGUCUCUGUCCUGUGAAUACACUGUGUAGAAAACAUAAUUUGCAUUCAGGCAGUAGAUGACUUACUGAAGGAGUCUUUGGAAAUUCCAUUUUUCUCUCCACAUUGAAGGAAAUUGAGAAAGGAAAAUGGGAAGCUGCAAAACUUGAAGCUGACCCAUUGAGCCAGAUGGAUGAAGCAAAAUGACUUUUUCGGUUGGACUGAGCUUUUGUAUGAAGCAGUAGGCCCUCAGGGGAAAGACAUCAGCUUGAGUAAUUAACUCAUGAUUAUGCAAAGAUAAUUUACCUAGCCUCUUUGUUUUUCCUCCUUUUUUUUUUUUAUUGCCUUGGGCUACCUCCUUUCUUAUUACCAUCCUCACUGUUGUGGGCUGGGGUUAAGAGAGUGGCAGAGAUAAUAAUGGGAGCCCAACCCAUUUUUUCCAUCUUACUUUCAUUUACAAUUUUGUUAAAGAAAAAAUAAAUUAAGCCAAUUUAUUGGAUCAAUAGUUGUUUUCUCUUAACAUUAGAUACACAAGAAUUUUUCAGAGGCUUCCUAAGUAUAGUUAUUUCAGAAGCCAUCUAGAUUGAGUAAAUCAAGUAUAAUUGUAAGCAAUCAUAAUAAUUUGUUUUUUAUAGUGUUUUAUAGCAUUUAAAAUCCUUUCUCAUAUAUUCACACAUGAUCCUUAUAAUAGUGCCUGCUGUGUCAUAAGAAUUUAUUAAAUAUGCAUCAAUUACUGGAUGAAUAAUAUAUAACAGUUAUGUGGGAUAAGUAGGGUUGGUAUUUAUCAAUACUUUUAAAAUUAGGAAAACAUUUGAUUUCAAUUUUUAGCUUAAAAAUCAUACAGCUAUUUAAGUUCCUUUUUCUGCCACAAGACUCUUGAAAAUGUGUGUGCUAAUAAAUGUAUUUUCAGAGCAUUUUAAUUUUACCAUAGCAAGGAUUUAUUUUUUUUAAAUGAGGCCAAAAAGCUAAUAUCUUUUCAGUGCAUUAAAGCAGUUCCUGACUCAGGCAUUCAUUAGUGUUGAGCAGAGCCCUCCGACUUGAAUGCUAGAAAGUAAUGGUUUGGUUGCUGUACAGCAGAAAUUGACGGGACACUAUAAAUCAACUAUAAUUUUUAAAAAAAUUUAAAAAGAAAGUAAUGCUUUGGGGAGCCCAGAAAUUACUGUAAGAAGGUGGUAUUAUUAUUUUAUCCCUCACUCUGUAUUUUCCUUUCUCUUAAAUAUUCUAAUUUACCUUUCAUCUAGGUUAUUGACAAGAAGGUGCUUAUUGUAACUGUAUACUUUAUUUUUUUUUUUUUUACUUAAAAGAAGAAUGUCAGUAGAAUUUUAGUUCAUCCUACAAAUGUUUAUCGAUCAUUUACUGUCUGCUGAGCAGUACUUAAGGUUCUAGGAAUCAGCAGCGAAAAAACAGGCAAAAUCCUUUUAUCUUGGAGAGAGGACAUUGUCAUUGGAGUGAUAAUGAACAGCAUUACAACAAAUUAGUUUUAGAUUAGAAAGUGGUGUGUGUUACAGAUUGGGAGAUCAGGGUGGGGAGAAUGGGUGUGUUGUGGCAUUUACCAUUUCUUGUACAUAGAUAGAUAGAUAGAUAGAUAGAUAAUGUAUCUCUCAUCAUCUCACUCACUGACAUCUGAGUAGAGAUGUGGCAAGAGAGGGAGUAUGUCAUGUGGCAUUCUGUCCCAGCAACACUGUUCCGGGCAGAAGGGCCAGUGUGGCUGGAACAGAGUGAACAAAGGGAGGAGUUAGAGGAGGUCAGAGAGGUAAGGGGGCCAGAUCAUGGGAAGGCUUUGAAGGCCAUUGGGAGGACCCUGGGCUAAAGGCCAAGGAAGCUGAGCUGUUGUAGGGUUUGAGUGACGGAGUGCCAUCACUAUAGUAGCUCUUCUGGAAACAGACCGCAAAGGUAAAAGAGUGAAAACUAGAGCAAAGGCCAUUACAAAAAUGUCGGCAAGAGAUGAGAGUGACUUGGGCCAGGGCCUAACAGUGGAGGUGAUGGAAAGUGAGCAGAUUCUGGACUUACAUUAUUUUGAAGAUAAGGCGAACAGGUUUUGCUAAUGGGUUGGAUGAAAAGAAAGGCCUUCAAAUUGCAAUGUUAAGGAAGAAAUUGGGCUGUAGAAGCUACAAAAUCAACAGGGUCGAGGGGAGGAAAUAGUGAUCAGUUUGGCUGUGUUGUGAAGUGAUCCAACGUCUAAGUACAGCUGUCAAGUAGUUGGUAGAUAGGUUCCGUCCGCAAAAGGUGUGAGCAUAUAGAUGGUACUGCAUGUCUGCAUUCGGGUGAGAUCAUUAGGGAACAAGAGCAGACAAAGAAGGGAUCUGGGGACCGAGCCUUUGGGUAUUUUUGUGUUCAUUGUUCAAAGACAGGAGAAGGACCAGCAACAGAGACUGAGAAAGAUUGGUAAGUGAGAAGGGCAACCAGUGGAAGCCAAGAAAGGAAGUGUUUCAGUAGGAGGAAGCGAUCACGUGUGACCUUGCUGCUUAGACAAAGUACUAAUAUGAGGACUGAGAAUUGAGCACUGGUCUAGCAAUUUAGAGGUGACCUUGACAGUUUGGGGAAGCGGUUGGUAGCAAAAGUUUGGUUGAAAUGGGUUCAAGAGAAAAGAAAGAGUUCCCUGGUGGCUCGGUGGGUUAAGGAUACAGUGUCCUUAACCUCAGUGGCUAAGGUUUGAUCCUUGGCCUGGGGCCUUCUGCAUGCUGCAUGCAUACCCCACUCUCCAAAAAAGAGAGAAGAGAAAGUAAAGGAAUUAUAGACAGCAAAUAUAGAAAAAUUGAUAUUAUGGGGGCAAUGGGGAUGAUUUUGAGAGCAGUGUCCUGGAAUAGCAAGUUCAUAUCCAAAAAUGAAGAGAGGAGUUGGACUAUAAAUUCAUUCUGGAUUGAUUUAUGUAGCCAACUAGUCAAGCACUGUGGUGGAGUUCUUUAGCAAAAUAAUGGUAGAUGGAUAACCUUCACUUUUCCAAAAUUCACUUGAGCAGGGCAGGUAAUUAGUAGCAUAGCUUUCUUGGGUAGAGCUAAGUGGAAAAUCGUCUUUUGCAACUUAUUAAUAUAUUUGUUUCCAAAAUAAAAUUAUUAGCACUUUAUGAUAAAAAUGGAGAAUUCUUUCCCAGAGAUAGAAAAAAUAAUUCUUCCCUUUCUCAAAAAAAAAAAAAAA